This 446-nucleotide ribosomal RNA is filed under the name Tylos ponticus. RNAcentral describes it as "partial 12S small subunit ribosomal RNA". The stretch from base 113 to 446 matches the Rfam family "Microsporidia small subunit ribosomal RNA", at positions 752 to 1205 of the family's 1311-position model. Lineage: Eukaryota; Metazoa; Arthropoda; Malacostraca; Isopoda; Tylidae. The record is from RNAcentral.
ACUUUGAAAACUGAGGUAAAAUUCUGCGUUUUAGAAGUUUGAAAGCACUAACUCUAAAUUCAUGACUAUAAAAAAGGAUUAGAUACCCUUCUAUACUUGAAAACCGAACUUUAAGUAGUAAAAAUUAUAUUUUUGAAAUUUAAAGGGUUUGGCGGCUUCUGGAAUGAUCAGGGGAGUUUGUGUUUUAAUCGACAGUACGCGUUAGACCUUGCUUGACUUAUGUUUGUAUACCGCCGUCUAAACACCCUCAGAAGAGUUCAGUUGGGAUCAUUAAUGUGCGAACGUCAGGCCAUGGUGCAGCAAUAGUUAAGAUAAUCACAAACUACAUUUUAAAAAGCAUUGGAGUCAAGUUUAAAAGUUUGGUGAAAAUGGACUUGUAAGUAAUUAUCGGAUUAGAAUACAGUAAUGAAUUUAAAACUAGAAGUGUACAUAUCGCCCGUCGCUCU